RNAcentral lists this ribosomal RNA (887 nucleotides) under human gut metagenome. RNAcentral's name for it is "bacterial SSU rRNA". It matches the Rfam family "Bacterial small subunit ribosomal RNA", at positions 21 to 909 of the family's 1533-position model. The record is from RNAcentral.
GGCUCAGGAUGAACGCUGGCGGCGUGCCUAAUACAUGCAAGUCGAACGCUUCACAUCGGUGAAGAGUGGCGAACGGGUGAGUAAUACAUAAGUAACCUGGCAUCUACAGGGGGAUAACUGAUGGAAACGUCAGCUAAGACCGCAUAGGUGUAGAGAUCGCAUGAACUCUAUAUGAAAAGUGCUACGGGACUGGUAGAUGAUGGACUUAUGGCGCAUUAGCUUGUUGGUAGGGUAACGGCCUACCAAGGCGACGAUGCGUAGCCGACCUGAGAGGGUGACCGGCCACACUGGGACUGAGACACGGCCCAGACUCCUACGGGAGGCAGCAGUAGGGAAUUUUCGGCAAUGGGGGAAACCCUGACCGAGCAACGCCGCGUGAAGGAAGAAGUAAUUCGUUAUGUAAACUUCUGUCAUAGAGGAAGAACGGUGGAUAUAGGGAAUGAUAUCCAAGUGACGGUACUCUAUAAGAAAGCCACGGCUAACUACGUGCCAGCAGCCGCGGUAAUACGUAGGUGGCGAGCGUUAUCCGGAAUUAUUGGGCGUAAAGAGGGAGCAGGCGGCACUAAGGGUCUGUGGUGAAAGAUCGAAGCUUAACUUCGGUAAGCCAUGGAAACCGUAGAGCUAGAGUGUGUGAGAGGAUCGUGGAAUUCCAUGUGUAGCGGUGAAAUGCGUAGAUAUAUGGAGGAACACCAGUGGCGAAGGCGACGAUCUGGCGCAUAACUGACGCUCAGUCCCGAAAGCGUGGGGAGCAAAUAGGAUUAGAUACCCUAGUAGUCCACGCCGUAAACGAUGAGUACUAAGUGUUGGGGGUCAAACCUCAGUGCUGCAGUUAACGCAAUAAGUACUCCGCCUGAGUAGUACGUUCGCAAGAAUGAAACUCAAAGGAA